This 183-nucleotide ribosomal RNA is filed under the name Triticum aestivum (bread wheat). RNAcentral's name for it is "partial small subunit ribosomal RNA". Lineage: Eukaryota; Viridiplantae; Streptophyta; Magnoliopsida; Poales; Poaceae. The record is from RNAcentral.
AUGACAGGACGAAACCAAGAAAUAACCCUUUAUGUGCAAAAUUAUAGAAGAUCCCCUUUAGAUCAAACAAUUCCAUCGAGUAUGACUGUAUGUGUGAUAGCAUCUACUAUACCAAAGCUGAUGAAUGAUGCUAUAAACGGUACGAAUGAUGUUAUAAACGGUACUGCUAGAAUGAAUGUAUAG